Molecule: ribosomal RNA, 253 nt
Filed under: uncultured bacterium
Lineage: Bacteria
Description: partial 16S ribosomal RNA
Rfam family: Bacterial small subunit ribosomal RNA
Source: RNAcentral
UACGAAGGGGGCUAGCGUUGCUCGGAAUCACUGGGCGUAAAGGGUGCGUAGGCGGGUUUUUAAGUCCGGGGUGAAAUCCUGGAGCUCAACUCCAGAACUGCCUUUGAUACUGAAGAUCUCGAGUCCGGGAGAGGUGAGUGGAACUGCGAGUGUAGAGGUGAAAUUCGUAGAUAUUCGCAAGAACACCAGUGGCGAAGGCGGCUCACUGGCCCGGUACUGACGCUGAGGCACGAAAGCGUGGGGAGCAAACAGG